GUGAAUCAUCAAAUCUUUGAACGCAUAUUGCACUCUCUGGGAAGCCGGAGAGUAUUUCUAUGUGAGGGUCAUUUGAAAGAAUAUAAUUUCCAAUAUUGCUCGGAAUUUAAAAUGGGUGGUCCAUUUUUUGUGGUCUCCUAAAAUCCAAGACAAGCUCAUUUUCUUGUGUUGCGUGAGACUUUCAGUUACCUCGUGACUUAACCAGGAGUCAUCGGGCUUGAUUUGAAUUUUGCAAGAGAUAAAAAAUUCCAUAUAUUUAUCUCAUGAUAGAUAG
Molecule: unclassified non-coding RNA, 274 nt
Filed under: Archaeospora sp.
Lineage: Eukaryota; Fungi; Glomeromycota; Glomeromycetes; Archaeosporales; Archaeosporaceae
Description: partial internal transcribed spacer 2
Rfam family: 5.8S ribosomal RNA (bases 1-71)
Source: RNAcentral